Molecule: long non-coding RNA, 215 nt
Organism: Perognathus longimembris pacificus (Pacific pocket mouse)
Lineage: Eukaryota; Metazoa; Chordata; Mammalia; Rodentia; Heteromyidae
Exons: 3
Source: RefSeq, a predicted model, not a curated record
ACCUUGAUCCUCUGAUCUCAGCCUCCUGAGUAGUUAGGAUGAUAGGCUUGAGCUACCAGCACCUGGCUUUCAUAUCCAUUUUUAAGAAAUACAAAUAAACCUGUGGCAAGGUAAUUUCAUAUAAGAAUUACUGAUUUUCAAUCUAUAGGAUCAUUAGUCAGUAGUGGCACGUUGUGUGUGUGUGUGUGUGUGUGUGUGUGUGUAGGAUAAUGAGG